AAAAGGUUUGGUCCUAGCCUUAUUAUUAACUCUUUCUCAACUUACACAUGCAAGUCUCAGCACUCCCGUGAGAACGCCCUUAAACCUCUACCAGGUUAAGGAGCCGGCAUCAGGCACAACCGUUUGCCCAUAACACCUAGUCUCACCACGCCCCCAAGGGUAAUCAGCAGUGAUAAAUUUUGUCUAUAAGCGAUAGCUUGACUCAGUCAGUGAACAGAGAGCCGGCCAACCCGGUGCCAGCCGCCGCGGCUAUACCAUAGGGCUCAAGUUAAUAACUAUCGGCGUUAAGCGUGAUUAAAGUCUCAAUAAAUUAGAGUCGAAUUAACACUUAGUAGUGAUAAGCUUGCUGUUAAGAAGAACAUAAACGAAAGUUACCCUAUAAUACACUUGAAUACACGACAGCUGGG
Molecule: ribosomal RNA, 407 nt
Filed under: Hylarana latouchii (broad-folded frog)
Lineage: Eukaryota; Metazoa; Chordata; Amphibia; Anura; Ranidae
Description: partial 12S ribosomal RNA
Source: RNAcentral